Molecule: transfer RNA, 73 nt
Filed under: Ixodes scapularis (black-legged tick)
Lineage: Eukaryota; Metazoa; Arthropoda; Arachnida; Ixodida; Ixodidae
Rfam family: tRNA
About the family: Transfer RNA (tRNA) molecules are approximately 80 nucleotides in length.
Source: Rfam by way of RNAcentral
GCCUGGUUAGUUCAGUUGGUGAAACGUUCCAUUGCAAAUGGAGAAGUCCCGGGUUCGAUACCCAGACCAGGCG